UGGGGAAUAUUGGACAAUGGGGGAAACCCUGAUCCAGCUAUGCCGCGUGAGUGAUGAAGGCCUUAGGGUUGUAAAGCUCUUUUAUCAGGGAAGAUGAUGACGGUACCUGAAGAAUAAGCACCGGCUAACUUCGUGCCAGCAGCCGCGGUAAUACGAAGGGUGCUAGCGUUGUUCGGAUUUACUGGGCGUAAAGCGCACGUAGGUUGUAGAAUGAGUUAGAGGUGAAAUGCCAGGGCUUAACCUUGGAAUUGCCUUUAAUACUGUUUUACUAGAGAAAAGGAGAGGAUAGCGGAAUACCCAGUGUAGAGGUGAAAUUCGUAGAUAUUGGGUAGAACACCGGUGGCGAAGGCGGCUAUCUGGCCUUUAACUGACACUGAAGUGCGAAAGCGUGGGGAUCAAACA
This 402-nucleotide ribosomal RNA is filed under the name uncultured Alphaproteobacteria bacterium. RNAcentral describes it as "partial 16S ribosomal RNA". It matches the Rfam family "Bacterial small subunit ribosomal RNA", at positions 355 to 774 of the family's 1533-position model. The record is from RNAcentral. Lineage: Bacteria; Pseudomonadati; Pseudomonadota; Alphaproteobacteria.